RNAcentral lists this ribosomal RNA (1490 nucleotides) under Lactiplantibacillus argentoratensis. RNAcentral describes it as "bacterial SSU rRNA". It matches the Rfam family "Bacterial small subunit ribosomal RNA". The record is from RNAcentral. Lineage: Bacteria; Bacillati; Bacillota; Bacilli; Lactobacillales; Lactobacillaceae.
GACGAACGCUGGCGGCGUGCCUAAUACAUGCAAGUCGAACGAACUCUGGUAUUGAUUGGUGCUUGCAUCAUGAUUUACAUUUGAGUGAGUGGCGAACUGGUGAGUAACACGUGGGAAACCUGCCCAGAAGCGGGGGAUAACACCUGGAAACAGAUGCUAAUACCGCAUAACAACUUGGACCGCAUGGUCCGAGCUUGAAAGAUGGCUUCGGCUAUCACUUUUGGAUGGUCCCGCGGCGUAUUAGCUAGAUGGUGGGGUAACGGCUCACCAUGGCAAUGAUACGUAGCCGACCUGAGAGGGUAAUCGGCCACAUUGGGACUGAGACACGGCCCAAACUCCUACGGGAGGCAGCAGUAGGGAAUCUUCCACAAUGGACGAAAGUCUGAUGGAGCAACGCCGCGUGAGUGAAGAAGGGUUUCGGCUCGUAAAACUCUGUUGUUAAAGAAGAACAUAUCUGAGAGUAACUGUUCAGGUAUUGACGGUAUUUAACCAGAAAGCCACGGCUAACUACGUGCCAGCAGCCGCGGUAAUACGUAGGUGGCAAGCGUUGUCCGGAUUUAUUGGGCGUAAAGCGAGCGCAGGCGGUUUUUUAAGUCUGAUGUGAAAGCCUUCGGCUCAACCGAAGAAGUGCAUCGGAAACUGGGAAACUUGAGUGCAGAAGAGGACAGUGGAACUCCAUGUGUAGCGGUGAAAUGCGUAGAUAUAUGGAAGAACACCAGUGGCGAAGGCGGCUGUCUGGUCUGUAACUGACGCUGAGGCUCGAAAGUAUGGGUAGCAAACAGGAUUAGAUACCCUGGUAGUCCAUACCGUAAACGAUGAAUGCUAAGUGUUGGAGGGUUUCCGCCCUUCAGUGCUGCAGCUAACGCAUUAAGCAUUCCGCCUGGGGAGUACGGCCGCAAGGCUGAAACUCAAAGGAAUUGACGGGGGCCCGCACAAGCGGUGGAGCAUGUGGUUUAAUUCGAAGCUACGCGAAGAACCUUACCAGGUCUUGACAUACUAUGCAAAUCUAAGAGAUUAGACGUUCCCUUCGGGGACAUGGAUACAGGUGGUGCAUGGUUGUCGUCAGCUCGUGUCGUGAGAUGUUGGGUUAAGUCCCGCAACGAGCGCAACCCUUAUUAUCAGUUGCCAGCAUUAAGUUGGGCACUCUGGUGAGACUGCCGGUGACAAACCGGAGGAAGGUGGGGAUGACGUCAAAUCAUCAUGCCCCUUAUGACCUGGGCUACACACGUGCUACAAUGGAUGGUACAACGAGUUGCGAACUCGCGAGAGUAAGCUAAUCUCUUAAAGCCAUUCUCAGUUCGGAUUGUAGGCUGCAACUCGCCUACAUGAAGUCGGAAUCGCUAGUAAUCGCGGAUCAGCAUGCCGCGGUGAGUACGUUCCCGGGCCUUGUACACACCGCCCGUCACACCAUGAGAGUUUGUAACACCCAAAGUCGGUGGGGUAACCUUUUAGGAACCAGCCGCCUAAGGUGGGACAGAUGAUUAGGGUGU